GCUUCUUUCAGAAAAGUGUAGCAGAGCAAUGAGGAGGCAUAAUAAGGGACAACUAAGGAAAAGUCUAGAGGAAAUAUUCUGGGGAUGAAAGGCUUUUUGUUCUUCUUCUCGUACUGCUGUUCCCUUCUGCUCCUGAGCCUAUUUCUUUUAUUACGCCGAUGCUUUUACAGGUUUAAGGUCACAUGGGGAAAAGAACAGCGUGUCCUCCGACUCUUUGGUUCUCCCUUUCUGUUUGCCCUGAUAAUGCGGACGAUACGGCGCACAUGGGCCACAUCACCGGCCAUCAGCGGAGCUCGGCCUCGUGGCAUCAUGGGAGCUGUUGGAGAUGGAGUUGUAAAGAAACCACUGAAAGCUUGAAAGGUGCCCCGAAAACAUUUGCAGCAUCUGCUGUCAUGGAGCAGAACGGCUGGGAACGAUUCCAAUGAGACACCAGUUUGGGGAUGGAGACAAAGGGUCGGUCUUUCCCCUUGUUUGGAUGUCAACCACCAGUGUGCUUUUCACUCUCGGAGUCAAGCAGAUAUUAUAACAUGUAAAGGAACAGUGUGUAGCAUUUAUGGUGCUCUUUGGGCAGAGAGGAAAUGUUAUAAUAAUAAGUUUGUUUUAUUUUGUGUAUGAUCACCUGAAAAUAUAAAUCGU
Long non-coding RNA from Pseudoliparis swirei, 636 nucleotides. RefSeq lists it as uncharacterized. The record is from RefSeq and is a predicted model, not a curated record. NCBI's taxonomy places the organism in Eukaryota, Metazoa, Chordata, Actinopteri, Perciformes, Liparidae. The transcript has 3 exons.